GCUAUGUAUAUUGAUGAUGAUGGCACCGCGUUUGGUAUCGGCUCGCUCGUGAUACUUCAUUUUAUUUGUUCAUUCCAUUCUGUGUGGUUAGAUCGGGAUUGUGUGUUACUUUUUCAGUGUUGGCCGUCAUUAACAGUAAUUACAACACUGACAUGAAGAAAUAAUGUAACUGGCAGCCCUCGACUGUCGGUGACAGUUGCAAAACAAAAUUAAAUCCAUUAAAAGAAAAACAACUAUCCAUCGUUCCGGCGCUGUGAAGUUUUCGUUCAGCCAAAAAAGAUCACCAGGUGCGCUUUCCACAUCCGUUCUGGCACCUCCAAGGACAUCCUUACUGAUGUAGUAAAUCCGCUGACGCGAAUUAAGCAGAAAGACUUUGAGAUUCUGGAACCGUAUGUGAGUAGUUUACUGCAUGGAUGCAAAGAGGAUUUCUGGAUGUUCACGCAGUUCGCAGCAGUUUCGUGAGAUCAAUAUGUCCCAGCGGCAUCUGACAAACUCGUCCCGGCCCGACGUCUCAACCAUCAAUUAUCGACCAUUAAAACGGUCCAGCAUAAGUUGUUUGAAGCUGAACGGCGUUGCAAAAUUAAGGCGGCUUUUUCAAAAGGCAAGCUGGUGCCAGCUGGCGAAGCACUUCGGAAACGAAUUUCAUAUCAAGGACAAAUAAGAGAGGUUAUCGAGAUUGAGAAGUCUGAAUAACUGGUAUCCAUCAACAACCAAUCUACCACUGAACAUCGAGUGCUUCAUGAACGAAUUUCACGCCCAUUCGAGGAUACAACGUACAACGGUUUAAUAAUGUUAUGCGACAACUUGCUCCAGCCGAUUCUCCCGCGCAUCGAAGCCGCUGUGAAAAGAAAAGCCGCUGAACGAUUUUAGUCCAGUUCUGCGGAACAUGUAUUACAUAAAAAGUAGCAGCCGUAUUCCGUGGCUUUCAAAUAUUUUUUUAUUGUUUAAUGUUUAUGAUUGUUCAAUUCAUUGAAGCAUUGAA
Armigeres subalbatus is the source of this 982-nucleotide RNA transcript. RefSeq lists it as uncharacterized. Lineage: Eukaryota; Metazoa; Arthropoda; Insecta; Diptera; Culicidae. The transcript has 3 exons. The record is from RefSeq and is a predicted model, not a curated record.